Syngnathus acus (greater pipefish) is the source of this 1759-nucleotide long non-coding RNA. RefSeq lists it as uncharacterized. The transcript has 3 exons. Lineage: Eukaryota; Metazoa; Chordata; Actinopteri; Syngnathiformes; Syngnathidae. The record is from RefSeq and is a predicted model, not a curated record.
UCAUUUUCCGGCAACUCUAUCUGCGGCGCUUUCUUCCCGGGCGCGGCGCCGACGUUCAGCGAGCUGUUCUUGUAAUCCACCGGCUCCUCGUGCGCGAGCAGCACGAUGAAGUUGACUCACCAUUAAUAAGCAUCAGCUGCACUUCCUCAAAUGUUACACGUCCUCUACAUGUCAUUAAACGCCAUAAAGGGCAUGCUGCUACUGGGCAGGUGUUCAAACCAGGAAGAAAGUGUGUCAGGUCCUGUCAUGACACACUGCAGUGCCCCACCAAAGCUCGCCGCAGGAAGAUGUCACGUGCCCUCAAACAGGUUUUUACUACUGCACAAGUAGAAUGACUCAUUUGUGAUGAUCUGUUUUUACAGUGUUGUGAAGGGAUUUUAAUUAUGCACAUUUUGUUUACUGAGUAAUGCCUAGUUACGUUCACAGCCUCUCACCCAAAGUCAUCUACGACCUUUAAGAGGAAGUUAACUCUAACAUGUUCUUUACAAUAUGUUCCAGAGGAGUCUAAAUACAGCAUUGGGAUUAAUGUUGCACGCCCUUUAUUAUCCAUCUGGCGGCUGCCAUUUUGCCACUUUCUCAGAGCUCGCAUAACAACCAACCACGCCAACCUGGUAAGAUAAAGUAUCUGGGCUGACAAAACACCCCCAAGAUAUUUCGUCUUGAUUUGAUAUUUGAGUUAUACGUUACUUUUUGCUAGGUACAGUUUUACAUUUUCUCCAACACUUACUUUCACUGUUUUCCGAGUGAAUGAUGUGCGUGUUUGCGAUAUACUUGGGCAUAUUUUAAUGCUGGUGGCAGAUUGCAUCUCCCACAACAUGUGACCAUCCAUAGAGGAACUUCACCAGAUGGUCUCUCAAAGAGGGGCCAGCCCAGGCCAGCACACAGGGCUGAGGCCAAAGCUGCUGUCCCCAUUUUUUUGGACACUAUAAUCCCUUGAAACGAUCUCGUCGCAAAUGAUAGUGAAGGGUCUUCUUAGUGAUGCAACAAGUAACUGGGUCAGAUUGAUCCCACAAAAAGAAAUUUAAUUAAAAAAACAAACAUUUAUAAUGUGUGGGCGUUUAUUAAGAAUAAAAAUAAUUUAUUAAUAACACCAUGAAUAUUUCUCACUAUGCUGCGCUGCAAGCUGUAAUCCUUGUGUGGGCGUGCCCUACAUACAUGCCUUAACAUUUUAACCCCUUAAGAAUCACAAUUAAACGAACGCAUCAGUAAUUAUGCAAGUGGCCUCGAAGCAUAUUGCAAAGUAAAACUGCUAACAUGAAGUUUAUUCAAAAUGAGUAACAGGCAAACAAAAAGUGAUGUCACUGAAUUUGUUUUUGCACGUUUAUCCAGAUCAGGAUUAAAACAAGAAAGUGCCUCAGAACUGUGUACAUAUAGUUUCCAUCUAUCUGUGAGUUAAAUAUUUUUUGAAAAUGUGGUGCCAGUUCAAAAAAUUAAAAAAUUGACCAAUUAAAAAGAUUUUUUAAGGCAAAGUGAAAACGGUACUACAGUCAGCUAUCAUUUAGGUUUGGGUCUGAGUUAUAAAGAGUUGCUGCGCUCUAGUGGUAAUUGUGUUCGCAACAGCAACCAAUGAGCUUGCUCAGGAGUUUAGAAACAAAAUACUACUAAUUGAUGGGGCAAAACUACAUAAAAAUAAUUUCUCAGUGUCUAAGGAAAUGCAAUUUUUUUUUGGUGUGAUUUUGGAGAGAACUUGAGAAAAUGUUUUUUUUUUUGCCAUUUUUUAAAAUAAAUUAAACAUUUGGUGUUCAACUUAAAUUUCGAA